AGGACGAACACUUCAUCAGGUGAGGAGUUGUCUGGUUCGCGGCGGACGGUGAUAUGCCUAGGAUCUGCUGGAUGGGGGAAACGCCGGAACGGCGUAUACCGCUACUCCUGAGGGAAAAUGGGGACUUCGACUCCGUAUCAGAUGACCUAGGCGAUACUAUUGUGGGGAAGCCACACGGAAGACCGAGUGGCCGAACUGACGGCGAGACUGAACAUCCUGUUGUACCGAGGUUCGAGUCAUGUGAUCGCCGGGGCGCUCCCUUGUGUCCUCUAACACCUUCGCGUAAAGAAUCACACUCACGAUUACUCAUAUUUGGUGAGUCCAGUGACCGAAUUCCAC
Molecule: ribosomal RNA, 339 nt
Filed under: bacterium A12a
Lineage: Bacteria
Description: partial 16S ribosomal RNA
Source: RNAcentral